AUGGAGCUCGCCACCGCGGCCGUCGUCUCCACAGCCUCCAUCCACCCCGGCCGCAGCCAUUUCUCAACCGCACGCGUAGCCUCCUGGUCUAGUUCCUCGUCGCCGUCCUCCUCUCGGUCCCUGUCCACCUCCGCCUCCACCUCGCGGUCCCAGAGGCGUCGACUCCCCGUCGCCUCGGCCGCCGUAGAGCUCCGCGAGGCCGCCGCAGGUGGUGGAGACUCCGUCCGCGUCAUCGAGACGCCGCAGCCCAACUCCAGUGUUAAGUUCAGCGUGGAGGUGCCUCCCUCGAUAUGCCAGGAGUGCUACCAAACAACUCUUCUCGAGUACUCAAAGCGUUUCAAGGUUCCUGGAUUUCGGCCUGGAAAGAUAGUUCCAGAAAAUGUACUUUUAAAUUACGUUGGACCACAACAUGUACGGGCUGCUACAGUUGAAGCUAUCUUAAGACAUACACUUCCUCAAGCACUGUCCUCGGUAGAAGAGAGGGCAUUAGAAGAUUCUGUGCGCAUUCUCACUAAGUUUGAUGAUAUGAACGAGGCUUUCUCCCUUGACCAUGUCUUUAGAUAUGAUGUUGCUGUGGAUGUUAUUCCUGAAGUCCGUUGGUUAUCUGAAGACAAAUAUAAGAACCUCAAAGUGGUUAUUGAAAUAGAUGAAAUUGUUGAUGCAGAAAAGGCAGCCGAGUUGGAGCUUAAGCGUCGUCGUAAAUCUCUAGGGCUGCUUCGAAUAGUACCUGACAGAGGCCUACAGGUAGGCGAUCUAGUGGUACUGGAUAUAUUGGCUGAAACUAUCACAACCGACGGCUCUAAAGGUGAAAAAAUUCCAUCAGCUGAGAGUACAGGGUUCCACUUGGACACUGAGGAAAAUAAUAAUCUUGUUCCUGGAUUUCUGGGUUCGCUAAUUGGGAUUCGUCCUGGUGAGACUAGAACUUUUCCUAUUCAGUUCCCUGAGUCAUUUGAGCAGGAAACUCUACAAGGUGUCCGUGCCCAGUUUACUGUUGUCUGUAAAGAACUUUUCUUCAGAGAGCUGCCAGAAUUGGAUGAUUCGCUUGCCGCAAAGCUCCUUCCAGGAUGCAAUACCAUCGAUGAGGUUAAGGAACGAAUUUUGGAAAGAUGCAAAGAAGUGGAGAAGACGGCUAUAGAACAAGCAACAGAUAAUGCAAUCCUCGACCAACUGGGAAAGUUGGUAGACGUUGAUGUUCCACGUUCCUUGUUUCAAGAACAAGGUCAACAGUUGUAUGGAGCGAAACUUCUCCAACUUCAGGCAGAAAGGAAGCUAGACAAAGACCAGCUAGCAUCCCUUUCAAGCGAAAAGUCUGUCCAGGAGUACCUGAAAAGUGAGAGGGAGAACAUUGCUAGGAUCAUUAAGCAAAUGUUGGUUGUUGGUGAAAUAUUCAAGGCUGAAAAUUUGCAGUACUCGACAGACCAACUCGUCAAGGAAGUUGAGAACUCUAUAGAAGAGUUCAAACGCUAUAAUCAAGACUACGACGAGGGGAACAUCAAGCAGCAGGUUCAGGAUGUUCUCGAGGCUGCCAAGGUGCUCGAGUGGCUCAAGGAGAACUGCACGAUCGAGUACAUCAAAAAAUGA
RNAcentral lists this ribosomal RNA (1581 nucleotides) under Triticum aestivum (bread wheat). Its description in RNAcentral is "partial small subunit ribosomal RNA". The record is from RNAcentral. Lineage: Eukaryota; Viridiplantae; Streptophyta; Magnoliopsida; Poales; Poaceae.